UGGGAACUCAGCCAUGGCCCCAUGUAAGGUCUGUAGGGCAGCCUGUAUCUGGCCCACCUCUUGGCCGGGGACCUAGGUGGGAACUCAGCCAUGGCCCCAUGUAAGGUCUGUAGGGCAGCCUGUAUCUGGCCCAUCUCUUGGCCGGGGACCUAGGUGGGAUCUCAGCCGUACCUUUGUGCAGUAUGUGAACCUGGGCUGAACCUUUUUAUUUGACAAUUAUUUUUCACUGUAUGAUACAAAGUAUUCAGACCUCUUGACUUUUUCCACAUUUUGUAACGUUACAGCCUUAUUCUAAAAAUGGAUUAAAUAAAACAUUUCCCUCAUUAAUCUACACACAAUACCCCAUAAUGACAUCACAAUAGCCCAUAAUCACAAAGUUAAAAACCUUAUUUACAUAAGUAUUCAGACCCUUUGCUAUGAGACUCGAAAUUGAACUCAGGUGCAUCCUGUUUCCAUUAAUCAUCCUUGAGAUGUUUCUAUAACUUGACUGGAGUCCACCUGUGGUAAAUUCAAUUGAUUGGACAUGAUUUGGAAAGAAACACACCUGGCUAUAUAAGGUCCCACAGUCGACAGUGCAUGUCAGAGCAAAAACCAAGCCAUGAGGUCAAAGAAAUUGUCCGUAGAGCUCAGAGAGGAUUGUGAUGAGGUACAGAUCUGGGGGAAGGGUACCAAAAAAUGUCUGCAGUAUUGAAGGUCCCCAAGAACACAGUGGCCUCCAUCAUUAAAUCAAAGAAGUUUGGAACCACAAAGACUCUUCCUAGAUCUGUCCGCCCGGCCAAACUGAGCAGCAUCAUGCUGUGGGGAUGUUUUUCAGCGGCAGGGACUGGGAGGGAAAAGAUCAAGGGAAAGAUGAACGAUGCGAUGCAAAGUACAGAGAGAUCCUUGAUGAAAACCUGCCAAAGGUGCUUCAACAAAGUACUGAGUAAAGGGUCUGAAUACUUAUGUAAAUGUGAUAUUUUUUUACAUUUUUUUUAUACAUUUCAAAAAAAUCUGUUUUUGCUUUGUCAUUAUGGGGUAUUGUGUGUAGAUUAAUGAGAGAAAAACAAUUAAACCAUUUUCCUCCCUCUAGCUGGUGUUAUAGGUGAUAUAAUGUGUUAGUGCCCAGACGGCAUCCCCAGCCACGUCCUCAGAGCCUGCGCAGACCAGCUGGCUGUUUACGGACAUAUUCAAUCUCUCCAGCACUAACACAUUAUAUCACCUAUAACACCAGCUAGAACAUUAAAUAUUCAGUCAAAAAUGAUACAACUUUACAUUAUUUCAUGAUGAAUAAAAUAAAUCAUUAAUCUAAACAAUUUGAGGAAUUGUCUUUCAGAAAGAGUGUAGCAGAGGACUUAAUUGGUUGACAGAGAAUCAAGAGCAAAGGAUUGUGGGAUAGAUAGUAGAGUGGAAGGAGGGCAGAAAUGUUUUGGGCAGGAGGAGCUACUUAGGUCCAAAAGGCACUGUGUGCUUUUGGUCCAGCUGGUUCGAAUUCCAGAGCAAGGAACUUCAGCCUCAAUUUCUCUGGAUGAAAGUGUCUGCUAAAUGACUAUAAUCAUAGAUCUCAAUCAGUUGAAUCAGGACUGUUAUAUAGCUGGACCAAAAGCCUACAGUAGUCAGGGCAUCUUAGCAUAGCGUCUCUCUGCCAGGUGGGGCCUCGUUAGGGCUGUUACGGUUACCAUUACCGGCAGUCAAAUUCCACGUCACGGUAAUUAGGCAUCUCCAAGCUCUGCUGCUGGUGAUUGUUAACCAACUAAACUUGCUAACUACCUGGUACUCAGCAUUUUAUUGUGCCUCUAAUCACUCUGACAUCAAUGUAAAAUCAAAUCAAACACUUCAUGAGAGCCCAUGAGCUCAAGUGGAGCAACGUUUCUAUAGGGUAUGUCAUUAUGUAAGAAUACAGAGUGAUGACCUCUAUUAAAAAUAGGAGGAACCCAUCAGCUUUCUAUAGGCUAAGCCUACUAUAUUUAUUUAAGAACGUUCCUGAUAUUAAGCACAUUGCUUCUCUUUACAACAGGAGUAUAGCCUACCUGGCUGGCAUGAGAAUGAACCAGGGGAAACGCAUCCUCCAUUCUCUAUUCAAAUGCAUCUAUUUUUUUCUCCUGCCCGUUCUGAGACAAGAUAUGGAUAUGGUCCAUUCUAAAUCAAUACAUAUAUGCCAGGUACCUACUGCCAGGUACCUACUUUUACCUACUGCCAGGUACCUACUUUUACCUACUGCCAGGUACCUACUUUUACCUACUGCCAGGUACCUACUUUUACCUACUGCCAGGUACCUACUUUUACCUACUGCCAGGUACCUACUUGUACCUACUGCCAGGUACCUACUUGUACCUACUGCCAGGUAUCUACUUCUACCUACUACUAUGUACCUUCAACGACAUACUGCCAUGUACCUACUGCCAUGUACCUACUUGUACCUACUGCCAUGUACCUACUUGUACCUACUGCCAUGUACCUACUUC
Long non-coding RNA from Oncorhynchus tshawytscha (Chinook salmon), 2441 nucleotides. Lineage: Eukaryota; Metazoa; Chordata; Actinopteri; Salmoniformes; Salmonidae. The record is from Ensembl.